UACGUAGGGUGCGAGCGUUGUCCGGAUUUAUUGGGCGUAAAGGGCUCGUAGGCGGCGUGUCGCGUCGGCUGUGAAAUCCCGAGGCUCAACCUCGGGUCUGCAGUCGAUACGGGCGGACUGGAGUUCGGCAGGGGAGACUGGAAUUCCUGGUGUAGCGGUGAAAUGCGCAGAUAUCAGGAGGAACACCGGUGGCGAAGGCGGGUCUCUGGGCCGAUACUGACGCUGAGGAGCGAAAGCGUGGGGAGCGAACAGG
This 253-nucleotide ribosomal RNA is filed under the name uncultured bacterium. RNAcentral's name for it is "partial 16S ribosomal RNA". It matches the Rfam family "Bacterial small subunit ribosomal RNA", at positions 524 to 776 of the family's 1533-position model. The record is from RNAcentral.